CAUUUGUCGUUCAGGCAGAUAGUGGACCACAACGAGAUCACGCACCACUUCCUGUUAUCCAUCUCCAUCUACAGUGCCGUCGCGCCGUCGACAAUGAGGUAAUUACAAAUACAAAUUAAGCGGCCACCACGGCAAGUUUUCUCUCUGACUUAUUUGCCAAGACGGUGAAUAACAGCCGAUCACAGAACGUGAUAAACAAACUGUAGCAUGCAGCGACAGCAUUAUGUCAAUUUUGGACACCGAGUCGCACAGGCAUGGUCUGAAAGGGGUCAAUAUUCAUUAUCUCGGUGCCCGUUUGGGCAAAGAUAUCAAAGACAUCAGGAAGGAGCUGAGCGCCCUUCAAAUCAUCGAAGAGGUCUACAACACCGUAGACGAAGACCACUACAAGGCAACAUCAGAAGAUUUGCUUUUAUUGUGACUCGUUGCCUUUUUAUGUGAGGAGGAAUAAAAUAUGCGGCAUCGUUUUCUUCUUAA
Long non-coding RNA from Panicum virgatum (switchgrass), 474 nucleotides. RefSeq lists it as uncharacterized. The record is from RefSeq and is a predicted model, not a curated record. Lineage: Eukaryota; Viridiplantae; Streptophyta; Magnoliopsida; Poales; Poaceae. The transcript has 3 exons.